AUCUUCACUGCAAAGAUGGCAUUUUCUCUUGGCGUCUUCCUCCUCUGUGCGAUCUGUGGGGUGUUGACUCAACAGGUAAGUCCAAACCUCACCUGCUGACUUCAAUAAUCCAAUGGUUGAUGCAGUGUUGUGUUCAUGAAAGUUAAUGUUCUUUUCUUCUUUGCAUGCCACUGGUUGGUAGCUGUCUCACCUGGACACUUUUCCCACAUACUUCCUGGUCUUUUUCACAUAAAAUAACAUUUGUGUUGCAGGUCAAUACAUCUACCAAAAGGGUCCCAAAACCUUUGCAGAAGCAGAGGACAUAUGCAUCACAAAAUUUGGUGCCAAUCUGGUGUCAUUCCACAAUGACGACGAAUACAAAGAUGUUCUUCAAGUGAUCAAAGCCAAUAAUGGCGGAGCCAUUGUAGACACCUGGAUAGGACUCGAUGACACCAUCCAGGAGGGUGCCUUCAUUUGGACUGAUGGCAAAGUCUAUGACCCUACAGACUUUGCAAAAUUUACUGUCAAAGGCGAUACUAUAUUUGACGACUGUGUGCACAUUGGAACUGCUGGAAAUGGGCUCGUUAGCGACUGCAGUGUCCCGAGACCAUUUGUUUGCGCCUAAGAUCAAUAGUCAAAUGGACGACAGCGGCCCCUAACCGUACCAGACAUGAGCAAACUAUGACUCUGCAUGUCAUAUAUUGGCCAAUAAGCUUUUCAAUCUGUCCCACGGAAUGCUUCUAAAUCCGCUUUUACCGCCUUCAACAUUCAAUGCUAUUGAAUAAAUGGUUUCUGGAGCCGAAGCGCGGCGGCUAGGGUCUGCAGGCUAGCGUGGUGGAGGUCGUUGCUUGGGAGUUCAGAUACUCUUGAUGUUCAAUGUUUUAUUGUUCAUCUACACUCUGGCUGUCUUAAUCAAUAAAAACCUUAAAAAUCAA
Molecule: long non-coding RNA, 914 nt
Organism: Nerophis ophidion (straightnose pipefish)
Lineage: Eukaryota; Metazoa; Chordata; Actinopteri; Syngnathiformes; Syngnathidae
Exons: 5
Source: RefSeq, a predicted model, not a curated record